This 90-nucleotide transfer RNA is filed under the name Colletotrichum zoysiae. RNAcentral's name for it is "tRNA-Phe". It matches the Rfam family "tRNA". Rfam says of the family: Transfer RNA (tRNA) molecules are approximately 80 nucleotides in length. Lineage: Eukaryota; Fungi; Ascomycota; Sordariomycetes; Glomerellales; Glomerellaceae. The record is from RNAcentral. RNAcentral also lists the same sequence under 3 other names.
GCGGACAUAGCUCAGUUGGGAGAGCGUCAGACUGAAGUCAACUUCAAUCACUAAAUCUGAAGGUCGUGUGUUCAAUCCACACUGGCCGCA